RNAcentral lists this ribosomal RNA (460 nucleotides) under uncultured bacterium. RNAcentral's name for it is "partial 16S ribosomal RNA". It matches the Rfam family "Bacterial small subunit ribosomal RNA", at positions 338 to 795 of the family's 1533-position model. The record is from RNAcentral.
CCUACGGGAGGCAGCAGUGAGGAAUAUUGGUCAAUGGGCGCGAGCCUGAACCAGCCAAGUAGCGUGAAGGAUGACUGCCCUACGGGUUGUAAACUUCUUUUAUAUGGGAAUAAAACAGGGUAUGCAUACCCUCUUGUAUGUACCAUAUGAAUAAGGAUCGGCUAACUCCGUGCCAGCAGCCGCGGUAAUACGGAGGAUCCGAGCGUUAUCCGGAUUUAUUGGGUUUAACGGGAGCGUAGGUGGAUUGUUAAGUCAGUUGUGAAAGUUUGCGGCUCAACCGUAAAGUUGCAGUUGAAACUGGCAGUCUUGAGUACAGUAGAGGUGGGCGGAAUUCGUGGUGUAGCGGUGAAAUGCUUAGAUAUCACGAAGAACUCCGAUUGCGAAGGCAGCUCACUGGACUGCAACUGACACUGAUGCUCGAAAGUGUGGGUAUCAAACAGGAUUAGAUACCCCAGUAGUC